Small nucleolar RNA from Arabidopsis thaliana (thale cress), 75 nucleotides. It matches the Rfam family "Small nucleolar RNA ncR3". Lineage: Eukaryota; Viridiplantae; Streptophyta; Magnoliopsida; Brassicales; Brassicaceae. The record is from Rfam.
GAGGCUUCUACCGUCUUAUGAAGUUGCUGUGACAGAGUUUAUUUUUCUUCCUUUGGCUGAUUCGGAGAUGCAUUA